Long non-coding RNA from Oncorhynchus keta (chum salmon), 874 nucleotides. RefSeq lists it as uncharacterized. The transcript has 7 exons. Lineage: Eukaryota; Metazoa; Chordata; Actinopteri; Salmoniformes; Salmonidae. The record is from RefSeq and is a predicted model, not a curated record.
GGAUGUUGGAUAGAUGGAGGGUGGCAGAGGGAGGUAUAGUGAAUCUAAUGGGAUGUUGGAUAGAUGGAGGGUGGCAGAGGGAGGUAUAGUGAAUCUAAUGGGAUGUUGGAUAGGUGGAGGGUGGCAGAGGGAGGUAUAGUGAAUCUAAUGGGAUGUUGGAUAGGUGGAGGGUGGCAGAGGGAGGUAUAGUGAAUCUAAUGGGAUGUUGGAUAGAUGGAGGGUGGCAGAGGGAGGUAUAGUGAAUCUAAUGGGAUGUUGGAUAGGUGGAGGGUGGCAGAGGGAGGUAUAGUGAAUCUAAUGGGAUGUUGGAUAGGUGGAGGGUGGCAGAGGGAGGUAUAGUGAAUCUAAUGGGAUGUUGGAUAGAUGGAGGGUGGCAGAGGGAGGUAUAGUGAAUCUAAUGGGAUGUUGGAUAGAUGGAGGGUGGCAGAGGGAGGUAUAGUGAAUCUAAUGGGAUGUUGGAUAGAUGGAGGGUGGCAGAGGGAGGUAUAGUGAAUCUAAUGGGAUGUUGGAUAGAUGGAGGGUGGCAGAGGGAGGUAUAGUGAAUCUAAUGGGAUGUUGGAUAGAUGGAGGGUGGCAGAGGGAGGUAUAGUGAAUCUAAUGGGAUGUUGGAUAGAUGGAGGGUGGCAGAGGGAGGUAUAGUGAAUCUAAUGGGAUGUUGGAUAGAUGGAGGGUGGCAGAGGGAGGUAUAGUGAAUCUAAUGGGAUGUUGGAUAGAUGGAGGGUGGCAGAGGGAGGUAUAGUGAAUCUCACUGGAUGUUGGAUAGAUGGAGGGUGGCAGAGGGAGGUAUAGUGAAUCUAAUGGGAUGUUGGAUAGAUGGAGGGUGGCAGAGGGAGGUAUAGUGAAUCUAAUGGGAUGUUGGAUAGGUGGAGGGUGG